AAAUUGAAGAGUUUGAUCAUGGCUCAGAUUGAACGCUGGCGGCAGGCCUAACACAUGCAAGUCGAACGGUAACAGGAAGCAGCUUGCUGCUUUGCUGACGAGUGGCGGACGGGUGAGUAAUGUCUGGGAAACUGCCUGAUGGAGGGGGAUAACUACUGGAAACGGUGGCUAAUACCGCAUAACGUCGCAAGACCAAAGAGGGGGACCUUCGGGCCUCUUGCCAUCAGAUGUGCCCAGAUGGGAUUAGCUUGUUGGUGAGGUAACGGCUCACCAAGGCGACGAUCCCUAGCUGGUCUGAGAGGAUGACCAGCCACACUGGAACUGAGACACGGUCCAGACUCCUACGGGAGGCAGCAGUGGGGAAUAUUGCACAAUGGGCGCAAGCCUGAUGCAGCCAUGCCGCGUGUAUGAAGAAGGCCUUCGGGUUGUAAAGUACUUUCAGCGGGGAGGAAGGUGUUGUGGUUAAUAACCGCAGCAAUUGACGUUACCCGCAGAAGAAGCACCGGCUAACUCCGUGCCAGCAGCCGCGGUAAUACGGAGGGUGCAAGCGUUAAUCGGAAUUACUGGGCGUAAAGCGCACGCAGGCGGUCUGUCAAGUCGGAUGUGAAAUCCCCGGGCUCAACCUGGGAACUGCAUUCGAAACUGGCAGGCUUGAGUCUUGUAGAGGGGGGUAGAAUUCCAGGUGUAGCGGUGAAAUGCGUAGAGAUCUGGAGGAAUACCGGUGGCGAAGGCGGCCCCCUGGACAAAGACUGACGCUCAGGUGCGAAAGCGUGGGGAGCAAACAGGAUUAGAUACCCUGGUAGUCCACGCCGUAAACGAUGUCUACUUGGAGGUUGUGCCCUUGAGGCGUGGCUUCCGGAGCUAACGCGUUAAGUAGACCGCCUGGGGAGUACGGCCGCAAGGUUAAAACUCAAAUGAAUUGACGGGGGCCCGCACAAGCGGUGGAGCAUGUGGUUUAAUUCGAUGCAACGCGAAGAACCUUACCUGGUCUUGACAUCCACAGAACUUUCCAGAGAUGGACUGGUGCCUUCGGGAACCGUGAGACAGGUGCUGCAUGGCUGUCGUCAGCUCGUGUUGUGAAAUGUUGGGUUAAGUCCCGCAACGAGCGCAACCCUUAUCCUUUGUUGCCAGCGAUUAGGUCGGGAACUCAAAGGAGACUGCCAGUGAUAAACUGGAGGAAGGUGGGGAUGACGUCAAGUCAUCAUGGCCCUUACGACCAGGGCUACACACGUGCUACAAUGGCGCAUACAAAGAGAAGCGACCUCGCGAGAGCAAGCGGACCUCAUAAAGUGCGUCGUAGUCCGGAUUGGAGUCUGCAACUCGACUCCAUGAAGUCGGAAUCGCUAGUAAUCGUGGAUCAGAAUGCCACGGUGAAUACGUUCCCGGGCCUUGUACACACCGCCCGUCACACCAUGGGAGUGGGUUGCAAAAGAAGUAGGUAGCUUAACCUUCGGGAGAGCGCUUACCACUUUGUGAUUCAUGACUGGGGUGAAGUCGUAACAAGGUAACCGUAGGGGAACCUGCGGUUGGAUCACCUCCUUACCUUAAAGAAGC
RNAcentral lists this ribosomal RNA (1554 nucleotides) under Salmonella enterica subsp. enterica serovar Choleraesuis. RNAcentral describes it as "bacterial SSU rRNA". It matches the Rfam family "Bacterial small subunit ribosomal RNA". The record is from RNAcentral. Lineage: Bacteria; Pseudomonadati; Pseudomonadota; Gammaproteobacteria; Enterobacterales; Enterobacteriaceae.